RNAcentral lists this ribosomal RNA (1242 nucleotides) under metagenome. RNAcentral's name for it is "bacterial LSU rRNA". It matches the Rfam family "Bacterial large subunit ribosomal RNA", at positions 1564 to 2815 of the family's 2925-position model. The record is from RNAcentral.
UGAGUACGAGAUGCUACGGCAUCGAAGCAGUCUAUGUCAUACUUCCAAGAAAAGCUUGCACUGUCAUAAACAAAGAAUGCCUGUACCAUAACCGACACAGGUGGGUAGGUAGAGUAUACUAAGGGGCGCGAGAUAACUCUCUCUAAGGAACUCGGCAAAAUGACUCCGUAACUUCGGGAGAAGGAGUGCCUUAUUUAUAAGGUUGCAAUAACAAGAUCCAAGCAACUGUUUACCAAAAACACAGGUCUCCGCUAAGUCGUAAGACGAUGUAUGGGGGCUGACGCCUGCCCAGUGCCAGAAGGUUAAAGAAGUUGGUUAGCAUUCGCGAAGCUGAUAACUGAAGCCCUGGUGAACGGCGGCCGUAACAAUAACGGUCCUAAGGUAGCGAAAUUCCUUGUCGGGUAAGUUCCGACCCGCACGAAAGGCGUAAUGAUUUGGAUACUGUCUCGGAGAGGGGCUCGGUGAAAUAGACUUGUCUGUGAAGAUGCGGACUACCUGCACCUGGACAGAAAGACCCUAUGAAGCUUUACUGUAACUUGAGAUUGAAAUUGGACUUUAUUUGCGCAGUAUAGGUGGGAGGCGUUGAGAGCAGUCUUGCGGGAUUGUUGGAGCCAUCAGUGAGAUACCACUCUUGUAAUGUUAGAUUUCUAACUUUGUAUCAUGAUCUGGUCAAAGAACAGUUUCAGGCGGGCAGUUUGACUGGGGCGGUCGCCUCCUAAAUGGUAACGGAGGCGCACAAAGGUUUCCUCUGAACGGGUAGAAAUCGUAUCUAGAGUGUAAAGGCAUAAGGAAGCUUGACUGUGAGACCUACAAGUCGAGCAGGGACGAAAGUCGGUCUUAGUGAUCUGACGGUGCUGAGUGGAAAGGCCGUCACUCAACGGAUAAAAGUUACUCUAAGGAUAACAGGCUGAUCUCCCCCAAGAGUUCACAUCGACGGGGAGGUUUGGCACCUCGAUGUCGGCUCAUCGCAUCCUGGGGCGGUAGUACGUCCCAAGGGUUGGGCUGUUCGCCCAUGAAAGCGGUACGCGAGCUGGGUUCAGAACGUCGUGAGACAGUUCGGUCCAUAUCCGGUGUAGGCGUUAGAAUAUUGAGAGGAGCCUUCUCUAGUACGAGAGGACCGAGAAGGACAUACCUCUGGUGUACCAGUUAUCGUGCCAACGGUAAACGCUGGGUAGCUAUGUAUGGAGUGGAUAACCGCUGAAAGCAUCUAAGUGGGAAGCCCACCUUAAGAUAAGUAUUCAC